This 840-nucleotide ribosomal RNA is filed under the name uncultured bacterium. RNAcentral's name for it is "bacterial SSU rRNA". It matches the Rfam family "Bacterial small subunit ribosomal RNA", at positions 8 to 824 of the family's 1533-position model. The record is from RNAcentral.
AGAGUUUGAUCAUGGCUCAGGAUGAACGCUAGCGACAGGCCUAACACAUGCAAGUCGAGGGGCAUCGGGACGUAGCAAUACGUUGCCGGCGACCGGCGGAUGGGUGAGUAACGCGUAUGCAACCUACCCGCAGCAGGGGGAUAGCCCGUUGAAAGACGGAUUAAUACCCCGUAACACAGGGGCUCCGCAUGGAGAUUAUUGUUAAAGGGUCAUUUCUUUUUCAGGGAUGGUCCGGCUGCGGAUGGGCAUGCGUUCCAUUAGGUAGUUGGUGUAGGUAAUGGCUCACCAAGCCGACGAUGGAUAGGGGAACUGAGAGGUUGGUCCCCCACACUGGUACUGAGACACGGACCAGACUCCUACGGGAGGCAGCAGUGAGGAAUUUUGGUCAAUGGACGCAAGUCUGAACCAGCCAUGUCGCGUGAAGGAGGACGGCCCUAAGGGUUGUAAACUUCUUUUGCAGUGGAAUAAAGUUUGCCACGUGUUGGCGAUUUGCAAGUACGCUGCGAAUAAGGAUCGGCUAACUCCGUGCCAGCAGCCGCGGUAAUACGGAGGAUCCAGGCGUUAUCCGGAUUUAUUGGGUUUAAAGGGUGCGCAGGCGGGGAAUUAGGUCGGCGGUGAAAUUUCGGGGCUCAACCUCGACAGUGCCGUUGAAACCGUUUCUCUUGAGUGCGGAUGAGGUAGGCGGAAUUUGUGGUGUAGCGGUGAAAUGCGUAGAUAUCACACAGAACACCAGAGGCGAAAGCGGAGUACUAGACCAUAGUUGACGCUGAGCACGAAAGCGUGGGAUCAACAGGAUUAGAUACCCUGUAGUCCACGCCCUAACGAUGAUCACUAGAUAUG